CAGUCUCUUCGAAACAGAGAUCACCUUAUCGAGCAGUAACAAAAUCGAGUACGGCAUAUUUAUCUAGAAAUAGAUUUUCAACGUCCUCUUUCAGCAAUGAGAGGCGGUUCUCAAGAACGUGAGUGCUCUACUAAAUGCAUGAAAACAUGUAUGGAGAUAAAAGUUCUUUCAUUAACACUUGGCAUGUACUAAAGUUUCAUCGCUUUGUCGUCUCUAUGGAUCUAUCGACUUAAUGGCGAUAGAUCAGAUAUGUUACUAUUUUUAACAGAAACAUAUAGAGGAAUAAUGAAUCUUUAUUGAUGCUAUGAUUAUAUUGAGAGGAUUGAUAAAUCAAGUAAUCGAACUUGAAGCUGGAGGUUUAUCACGUAAAAAUGUUUGUCGAGAAAAAUAUAGAUGAUAUGAAGUUUUUUUAGAAGAAUGUUAGUGUGAACGCAUUAAAUUCACAGUUUUGGUGAGAAACGUUCUAUGCGUGACACCUAAGCGUUUUACUAAAUAAAAGCUUCUCGUGAAGCCACGUCACCACGUCACAUUUCUUGCCAAUAAACUUUUAGGUAAAUUUUAAAAGUGCGGGGAUAUAUUUUAAAAAUAUUUUUUGGUUCAAAAUUUAAUAUAAUUUGAGGCGAAAAAAUGAUUUAGAAUUUGUAAGCCAUGUGCACAACAUGCUCGUUAAAUCAAGAGAAAAAUAAGAAACUGAAUAAACUACAUACGCAAAGCCCGAGACAAGAGGCUAUAGGGCAACGUUUUGAGUAGAAAAAAAAAAGAAAAGAAGCAAACACCGUUUAAUUUAAACACCAACAAGUUUACAAGUGAAAAAAAACUGCUCUCCUUCUAGCUCGUUGGAGAUUCUAUCUCUGAUCUUCGAUGAUAUGUCGCUAAUAAGUCGUCGUCGUUUUUGUUGUAGGUCUUUGCAUGUUGGAGUAAGAAGAGGAAAACACAAAGGGAGAGAAAAAUAAGUAUAAGGAAGAAGAUCAUCAUCGAAAAAACAAAUAUCAAUCGUAUGUCGAUCCAUUCCAGAGAUCGUUUAGGUGGAUAUCCCAUUGAAAUUGAUUAAUUAUGCAAAAUAUGAUAAGC
Molecule: long non-coding RNA, 1071 nt
Filed under: Brassica napus (rape)
Lineage: Eukaryota; Viridiplantae; Streptophyta; Magnoliopsida; Brassicales; Brassicaceae
Description: long non-coding RNA (BNAP_LNC020806)
Source: RNAcentral